UUCGCAAUGCCCGAAAGGGUGACGAAGCGACGCCGCGUGUGGGAAGAAGGCCUUCGGGUUGUAAACCACUGUUGGGAGUUAAGAAAUGUAGAGGUGUUAAUAGCGCCUUUACUUGACUAAGGCUCCGGAGGAAGCCACGGCUAACUCUGUGCCAGCAGCCGCGGUAAUACGGAGGUGGCAGGCGUUACUCGGAUUGAUUGGGUGUAAAGGGUGUGUAGGUGGCGAGUUAAGUCGAAUGUGAAAGCCCAUGGCUCAACCAUGGAAUUGCAUUCGAAACUGGCUUGCUUGAGCGACUGAGAGGUAGACGGAAUUCCCGGUGUAACAGUGAAAUGUGUAGAUAUCGGGAGGAACACCAGUGGCGAAAGCGAGGUCCUGGACGUCUGCUGACGCUGAGACGCGAAAGCUAGGGGAGCAAACGGGAUUAGAUACCCCGGUAGUCCUAGCCGUAAACGAUGGGCACUAAGUAGAGGGGUUUU
RNAcentral lists this ribosomal RNA (476 nucleotides) under uncultured anaerobic ammonium-oxidizing bacterium. Its description in RNAcentral is "bacterial SSU rRNA". It matches the Rfam family "Bacterial small subunit ribosomal RNA", at positions 365 to 832 of the family's 1533-position model. The record is from RNAcentral.